ACACUGUGGAAGAGUCCCAAAUAGGAUGAAACAGCCUUCCAGUGU
This 45-nucleotide non-coding RNA is filed under the name Echinostoma caproni. The record is from RNAcentral. Lineage: Eukaryota; Metazoa; Platyhelminthes; Trematoda; Plagiorchiida; Echinostomatidae.